GAGGAUUUAGUUUAUAAAAAUAGCUGUUUUGCAUACAGCAGAUGUUAGGUUGAUCUAGCAGUCCUUA
Molecule: transfer RNA, 67 nt
Filed under: Neotetracus sinensis (Shrew gymnure)
Lineage: Eukaryota; Metazoa; Chordata; Mammalia; Eulipotyphla; Erinaceidae
Description: tRNA-Ala
Source: RNAcentral